This 1242-nucleotide ribosomal RNA is filed under the name Acinetobacter calcoaceticus. RNAcentral's name for it is "bacterial SSU rRNA". It matches the Rfam family "Bacterial small subunit ribosomal RNA", at positions 62 to 1297 of the family's 1533-position model. The record is from RNAcentral. Lineage: Bacteria; Pseudomonadati; Pseudomonadota; Gammaproteobacteria; Moraxellales; Moraxellaceae.
UCGAGCGGAGAGAGGUAGCUUGCUACUGAUCUUAGCGGCGGACGGGUGAGUAAUGCUUAGGAAUCUGCCUAUUAGUGGGGGACAACAUUUCGAAAGGAAUGCUAAUACCGCAUACGUCCUACGGGAGAAAGCAGGGGAUCUUCGGACCUUGCGCUAAUAGAUGAGCCUAAGUCGGAUUAGCUAGUUGGUGGGGUAAAGGCCUACCAAGGCGACGAUCUGUAGCGGGUCUGAGAGGAUGAUCCGCCACACUGGGACUGAGACACGGCCCAGACUCCUACGGGAGGCAGCAGUGGGGAAUAUUGGACAAUGGGCGCAAGCCUGAUCCAGCCAUGCCGCGUGUGUGAAGAAGGCCUUAUGGUUGUAAAGCACUUUAAGCGAGGAGGAGGCUACUUUAGAUAAUACCUAGAGAUAGUGGACGUUACUCGCAGAAUAAGCACCGGCUAACUCUGUGCCAGCAGCCGCGGUAAUACAGAGGGUGCAAGCGUUAAUCGGAUUUACUGGGCGUAAAGCGCGCGUAGGCGGCUAAUUAAGUCAAAUGUGAAAUCCCCGAGCUUAACUUGGGAAUUGCAUUCGAUACUGGUUAGCUAGAGUGUGGGAGAGGAUGGUAGAAUUCCAGGUGUAGCGGUGAAAUGCGUAGAGAUCUGGAGGAAUACCGAUGGCGAAGGCAGCCAUCUGGCCUAACACUGACGCUGAGGUGCGAAAGCAUGGGGAGCAAACAGGAUUAGAUACCCUGGUAGUCCAUGCCGUAAACGAUGUCUACUAGCCGUUGGGGCCUUUGAGGCUUUAGUGGCGCAGCUAACGCGAUAAGUAGACCGCCUGGGGAGUACGGUCGCAAGACUAAAACUCAAAUGAAUUGACGGGGGCCCGCACAAGCGGUGGAGCAUGUGGUUUAAUUCGAUGCAACGCGAAGAACCUUACCUGGCCUUGACAUAGUAAGAACUUUCCAGAGAUGGAUUGGUGCCUUCGGGAACUUACAUACAGGUGCUGCAUGGCUGUCGUCAGCUCGUGUCGUGAGAUGUUGGGUUAAGUCCCGCAACGAGCGCAACCCUUUUCCUUAUUUGCCAGCGAGUAAUGUCGGGAACUUUAAGGAUACUGCCAGUGACAAACUGGAAGGAAGGCGGGGACGACGUCAAGUCAUCAUGGCCCUUACGGCCAGGGCUACCACCGUGCUACAAUGGUCGGUACAAAGGGUUGCUACCUAGCGAUAGGAUGCUAAUCUCAAAAAGCCGAUCGGAGUCCGGA